This 399-nucleotide ribosomal RNA is filed under the name uncultured bacterium. Its description in RNAcentral is "bacterial SSU rRNA". It matches the Rfam family "Bacterial small subunit ribosomal RNA", at positions 32 to 419 of the family's 1533-position model. The record is from RNAcentral.
AAUCAACGCUGGCGGCGUGCCUCAGACAUGCAAGUCGAACGAUUAAACUUGCCUUCGGGCAAGAUAUAAAGUGGCGCACGGGUGAGUAACACGUAAGUAAUCUACCUUCGAGUGGGGAAGUAACGUCGGGAACCGACGCUAAUACCGCAUAAUGCAGCGGCACCUAAUGGUGACAGUUGUUAAAGGAGCAAUUCGCUUGAAGAGGAGCUUGCGGCAGAUUAGCUAGUUGGAAGGUAAUGGCUUACCAAGCUACGAUCUGUAACCGGUCUAAGAGGACGGUCGGUCACACUGACACUGAAUAACGGGUCAGACUCCUACGGGAGGCAGCAGUCGGGAAUUUUGGGUCGAAUGGGCGAAAGCCUCGACCCACGCAACGCCGCGUGAAGGAUGAAGUAUUUC